Molecule: long non-coding RNA, 2197 nt
Filed under: Equus caballus (horse)
Lineage: Eukaryota; Metazoa; Chordata; Mammalia; Perissodactyla; Equidae
Description: lncRNA (ENSECAG00000031402.2)
Source: RNAcentral
GGCGGGGGGCCCGGCCGGAGCAAGAGGGAGGCUCAGCGCCGGCUCCACCAACCAGGGCCCGCUCGCCCGUCCGCUUCACCAGGAUUGGCGAGCGUCUCAGCCAAUGGAGAAGCGACAAGAGCGGCGGAGCGUCGGCGCCGAGGGGCGGGGGAUUGCGGAGGAGGUGGCUCCCACCCUUGGUCCUCCGCCGCCGGGUCGCGAUGAGGCUUUGACCCGGCUCCCUUUCAGAGCGAAGGGACGUGUGAUAGCUAUCCACACCUGUUCCAGCUGUAACAGCAACUAAAAGUAACCCCGCCUUAUAUGAACUGCUGCUACACUGAGUUUGGCAUCCACUAUUAGCCCUUAAUCAUACUGUCCUGAGGUGUUUGGGAUUGUAUCAUGUAGGCCAGUCUUAGCUCUCUAAUUAGAUGAUGAAGGAACUGAGGCCCUGUGACUCCUCUAGGAUCAGAGAGCUGGUCCUUGCUGCCUUCCAAGGAAUUUAUUCAGUCUGCACAAGCUGCUGGCUGCUCUGCUUGGCCGGGCCUGUGGUCAUCCACCCUGAGCGCUGGACACCCUCCAUUUCCUGCCAGGUGUUUCUGCCGCAGCUUCCUGAGGUGGUGCUGCACUUGCCCAGGGGGCCGCUUCCAACAUUCCCAAGGCUGCAGACUCUCUAGGAGCCCAAAGAGCCUUCUGCUCCCUCCAGACCUCCCAGCGCCAGUCUGUCUAUUUGCACAUGAAUUGGGGGAAAUGUUCCCCCUCCCUAAGGUUGAUCUCAGCCCCUGGAGCUGGGGUGAGCACCAAUACUAGGCUCUCUGCUUCCUUGCCCUGCUUUCACUUAGGAAUUCGCCUCGUUCAUUGCUUGCUCCUAGAACCUUCAAAAUGUUCCCCUUGAAGACACUUUUCCCCUUCUAAAUCACUCAGGCGGAUAAUUUGGAGGGAAAAAAAUGAGUCUUCUCUGACCCCACAUCUAUGCAAAUAGCUUAGAUCCGGCCAUACGUAUUUACUUGUACGUGAAUAUGUGAAAAUAUAUGAAUGUAUAUUUGAAAGUGUAAAACCAUAGUUACAAAUAUAGGCAUAUGAGUGAACAAACAGUUCAAAAAGGGACUCAAACACUAAGGGCUGUGCCCACUUUAUGAUUUUACCACUUGUUCCUGUUGGAAUUUUACUUUUACUGUGGUCCACUGCAUCCUUAUUAAUGUAGUUCCAGCUUACAACUAAUUCUGAAUGGGACACACUAUUUUGAUAUGUUUGGAAAGAUCUCCUUAUGCCUUUAAAUAUCGCCACUUUUUUAAACUUUGCCAAGGUCAUAAUGGAGUAAAAGUAUUUCAAAAAUACCAGAGCUUUAUUAUUAAUGUUAUUUUACAAGUUAAAUUAUACAUUAAGGGUCAAGUUGGAAAUGAUAAGAAAUGAUGGUACAAGAUUCAGUAACAAGCCAUGGUUGACAGAGAAAAGUGUAAGUGGGUGCUCAUCUUAUAUGUUUCACAUCCCUCUAUCCACUACAUCUUUUUUUGAAGUGAAAUCGAUAUUACUGCUUAUAUAGUAAGUAUAUAUCCCUUGACACAAACAUAUGUGACAUAUGAAUAAAUGGAAGAGGCGAUGAAGAUAUGUUAAAACAAACUUAUUCGGUCUUUCAGAGAACUCAUUAAAUUACUCUCACUUGGUUCUUAGGGUGGCUAAGCUUGAAAAAUCAGGCUCAAGAAAAUCUGUUGCCCAGGAAAAGAAUAUGUAAUUUAAGGCAAAAGAAUAAAAAAAUGGAGACAAAAUGUACUACAGCUCAUUUGUCUGGAACACAUGGGCUAUUUCAGGUGUGGGGAAAAGGGAGAGGGUGUGCAAGUCUACCUACAUCUUUCAUUUGCAGUGGCUUGGUUCCUGGCAUAAUCCAUACACUCAGCAGUGAGAGAUUGCAUGCUUAAUUACUUAAGAGACCCAGAGAAUAACGGCAAGAUCUUUAUUAACGGAGGUGUUUCUGGCCUCUUGUGCUUCUUUCUUUGAUAAGCUGAUUAUUGCUUUAUUGGUUCCAGUCUUGUCAGGACCAUGGACAGCUCCAUCACAGCGGGGAGUCUCUUCUCUGCCUCGUUCUUCUACUUGUAGGAUUUCAGAGGAAAACAGACCUGAAAGAUUAACUGUUUUCACACCGAGACUUUACAGAUGAGGAAAUGGAUGUUCAUAAAAGUUAAAUGACAUGUUCAAGUCACGUGCUUAAAUCUGAAAAGCAGUC